RNAcentral lists this ribosomal RNA (468 nucleotides) under uncultured bacterium. Its description in RNAcentral is "partial 16S ribosomal RNA". It matches the Rfam family "Bacterial small subunit ribosomal RNA", at positions 28 to 507 of the family's 1533-position model. The record is from RNAcentral.
GACGAACGCUGGCGGCGUGCUUAACACAUGCAAGUCGAACGGAAAGGCCCUGCUUUUGUGGGGUGCUCGAGUGGCGAACGGGUGAGUAACACGUGAGUAACCUGCCCUUGACUUUGGGAUAACUUCAGGAAACUGGGGCUAAUACCGGAUAGGAGCUCCUGCUGCAUGGUGGGGGUUGGAAAGUUUCGGCGGUUGGGGAUGGACUCGCGGCUUAUCAGCUUGUUGGUGGGGUAGUGGCUUACCAAGGGUUUGACGGGUAGCCGGCCUGGGAGGGUGACCGGCCACAUUGGGACUGAGAUACGGCCCAGACUCCUACGGGAGGCAGAAGUGGGGAAUAUUGCACAAUGGGCGGAAGCCUGAUGCAGCAACGCCGCGUGCGGGAUGACGGCCUUCGGGUUGUAAACCGCUUUCGCCUGUGACGAAGCGUGAGUGACGGUAAUGGGUAAAGAAGCACCGGCUAACUACGUG